Homo sapiens (human) is the source of this 700-nucleotide long non-coding RNA. RefSeq annotates it as ITPRIP antisense RNA 1. NCBI's taxonomy places the organism in Eukaryota, Metazoa, Chordata, Mammalia, Primates, Hominidae. The transcript is spliced from 3 exons. The record is from RefSeq and is marked validated.
GGGAAGGUCACUGGGUGGCCUCUAGGAUUCCUGAGUCUGCAGUGCAUGGCUGAAUGUGAGCAGCACCUAGGCUGAGUCUGCCCCUCCCUCUGGUCUCCUUCCAACCCCUCAAGGGACUGAUGGAAAACUGAGUGGGUCCUGCCUCUUCCCCUGCCUGGGGGUACCUCUGCAGCAUCAUUGUCAGUGGUGACCACCAAAAUUAUCCAGUUCCAGCAUGGUCAAGAAGCUGAAUGUUCUCCUGCAGCCCCCAGGGUACCACGCACGGGGCUGGGCACACUGCAGGCUCCCAACAUAUGGAGAAGGCAGGGAAGCCAUCCUCUCCCAGGAAGGACAGAGUGUCCCUCCGUCCAGCCACUCUGCCUGCCUCCUCCAGCAGGACAUCAUAGAAAUCACAGCAUCUUGGGACAGACAGACAAACGCCUGAUCUCUAUGGCUGGGUUGUGGAGAGGACAGUGAGAAGAGACUACAAGGAGUAAAACAGUAGCAGAGACAAGGAGGGGGCUCCCCUGCAACCCCUGAGCUCUGGCCCACACCUCCUUUUCUCCCACGCGUUCCCUCCAGGGCAUCUCAGAUCCAUUCAACUGUGUGGGUUGAAUGGCAGCCCUCAAAAUAUACGUCCUCGCGCUAAUCCCCAGCCCCUAUGAAUGGGACCUAAAAGGGUCUUUGCAGAUGUGAUUAAAUUAAAGAACUUGAGAUGAGA